Helianthus annuus (common sunflower) is the source of this 240-nucleotide long non-coding RNA. RefSeq lists it as uncharacterized. The record is from RefSeq and is a predicted model, not a curated record. The transcript has 3 exons. Lineage: Eukaryota; Viridiplantae; Streptophyta; Magnoliopsida; Asterales; Asteraceae.
AGGGAGUCAAAACCCUAACAUCACAAAUCUCUCAAAUUAAAAGGGGAAAAUUGAAGGUUUAUCAAUGCAUGAGUUAGAAAUGUUCAUCCCUAAGUGAAAUUAACAUCAAGCACAAAGAAGGAAGAAGGCGCAAGUCACUCGAAGGCACAAGCAUCUCAAGAUCGCGGUAAAUCACAUGACUAAUUGCGGCGCGCUCGGACCGAACAUACACACACAACGUUGACCUUUAUACGCUUCCGG